UUUUAUGGUGUAGUUUGAAAGUGAGGAGAGUCUUUAUUAGAAGGUUAGAAAUAUGACACAAAAAGGAAAAGUAUUUAUGGUUUUUUUAAUGCUCAUAAUCGAUUAUGCAUUAGGUUUAUCGAUUAUGUGCUUCAUAAAAAUGACAAUUCUAAUUCCCAAAAGGAAAAAUCUAUAACCUCUACUAUAAUAAUCAAUUAGGAGUGUUCAUAAUUGAUUGAGAAGCUUUAUGAAUUUCUCUAAUUGAUUAACUAAUGGUACUACUCGAUUAGGCAAUGUAUAUAAGCGUCAUAAAUUUAGGAACACCCUUU
Molecule: long non-coding RNA, 308 nt
Filed under: Lathyrus oleraceus (garden pea)
Lineage: Eukaryota; Viridiplantae; Streptophyta; Magnoliopsida; Fabales; Fabaceae
Description: Pisum sativum (pea) long non-coding RNA (PSAT_LNC032482)
Source: RNAcentral